AAAAUUCACUUGUUCGAGUGGUAAAAUUUACUCUCCACACCAUCAUACACAAAAUAAAUUGAGUCUCUUUUAUGUAAUUAUACAAUCAUAGUCUAAAAUAUAAAUAUAAAAACCCAACACAAGAAGUUAUAUCCAACCAUUUAAUUAAGAUGCCAUAACAAACAUACAUUAUAGUGCAGUGGAAGUCGUGUCUGUGCCAACAUCUAGAAACCUGAACAGAAGCUAAC
This 227-nucleotide long non-coding RNA is filed under the name Lathyrus oleraceus (garden pea). Its description in RNAcentral is "Pisum sativum (pea) long non-coding RNA (PSAT_LNC017014)". Lineage: Eukaryota; Viridiplantae; Streptophyta; Magnoliopsida; Fabales; Fabaceae. The record is from RNAcentral.